GACAGAGGGUGCAAACGUUGUUCGGAAUUACUGGGCGUAAAGCGUGCGCAGGCGGCUUUCCAAGUCAGUGGUGAAAGCCCGGAGCUCAACUCCGGAAAUGCCAUUGAAACUGUGAAGCUUGAGAACGAGAGAGGUGAGUGGAAUUCCCAGUGUAGAGGUGAAAUUCGUAGAUAUUGGGAAGAACACCAGUGGCGAAGGCGGCUCACUGGCUCGUAACUGACGCUCAUGCACGACAGCGUGGGGAUCAAACAGG
This 253-nucleotide ribosomal RNA is filed under the name uncultured bacterium. RNAcentral's name for it is "partial 16S ribosomal RNA". It matches the Rfam family "Bacterial small subunit ribosomal RNA", at positions 524 to 776 of the family's 1533-position model. The record is from RNAcentral.